UACAGAGGGUGCGAGCGUUAAUCGGAAUUACUGGGCGUAAAGCGCGCGUAGGCGGCUUUGCAAGUCGGGUGUGAAAUCCCCAGGCUUAACCUGGGAACUGCAUUCGAGACUGCAUUGCUAGAGUAUGGGAGAGGGAAGUGGAAUUUCCGGUGUAGCGGUGAAAUGCGUAGAUAUCGGAAGGAACAUCAGUGGCGAAGGCGACUUCCUGGACCAAUACUGACGCUCAUGUGCGAAAGCGUGGGGAGCAAACAGG
RNAcentral lists this ribosomal RNA (253 nucleotides) under uncultured bacterium. RNAcentral describes it as "partial 16S ribosomal RNA". It matches the Rfam family "Bacterial small subunit ribosomal RNA", at positions 524 to 776 of the family's 1533-position model. The record is from RNAcentral.